GAUGAAGAACGUAGCGAAAUGCGAUACGUAAUGUGAAUUGCAAAUUCAGUGAAUCAUCGAGUCUUUGAACGCACAUUGCGCCCCCUGGUAUUCCGGGGGGCAUGCCUGUCCGAGCGUCAUUGCUGCCCUCAAGCACGGCUUGUGUGUUGGGCCCCGUCCUCCGAUCCCGGGGGACGGGCCCGAAAGGCAGCGGCGGCACCGCGUCCGGUCCUCGAGCGUAUGGGGCUUUGUCACCCGCUCUGUAGGCCCGGCCGGCGCUUGCCGAUCAACCCAAAUUUUUAUCCAGGUUGACCUCGGAUCAGGUAGGGAUACCCGCUGAACUUAAGCAUAUCAAUAAGCGGAGGG
Molecule: unclassified non-coding RNA, 345 nt
Filed under: soil metagenome
Description: partial contains 5.8S ribosomal RNA, internal transcribed spacer 2, and large subunit ribosomal RNA
Rfam family: 5.8S ribosomal RNA (bases 1-119)
Source: RNAcentral